Daphnia carinata is the source of this 793-nucleotide long non-coding RNA. RefSeq lists it as uncharacterized. The transcript has 2 exons. NCBI's taxonomy places the organism in Eukaryota, Metazoa, Arthropoda, Branchiopoda, Diplostraca, Daphniidae. The record is from RefSeq and is a predicted model, not a curated record.
GGAGGUCAUACAUGUCUACAAUUUAUCUGUUCUUGACCCCAUUCCUAAUAGAGAAAGGAGCAUCUUCAACUGUGAAACAAAACUACAUCCCGAAAGAUGUAUCUAGACUAAACCUACAUGUGCUGAAUGAAAGGCACUAAACUGCAGUUCUAUUAUAGCCAGUGACCUUGGAAGGCGCGCAUCCGCUUGCGUCCAUUUAUUGUGAGCCCACCGGAUGGCUGGAAACAAACCUCACUUACAACUCAUCCAAAAUGCAGUCAGUAAAAGAUAAAAAAAAAACGAGGCUUGUCUAAACGGAUGUCUGAAUCACCUCGAGAGCUUCUCGAUCGUCCUCUCGUAGUCCAACAAGCUGGAAGGACAGUCUCACAGAUUCAGUGGUUUUCACAGCUUUUUGAUGAAUCCACAAAGUUGUGUUUACUCUUCACACACGGCACCGAACAGACAAACCUUGGCGGACCCAACACAAAAACAAACAAGAGACACAGACGUGGGGGAUGAUGUAGCUUGCGAGGCAGUCUCGGCCCGACUGAAUCCAACCUGCUAUUGCUAGCCUCCCCCGUACCUUCCACUUCUUUCUACCUCCACCGUCUCCGCCUUUCCCCACAAUUCGAAACCCAUCUCUUUCCCUUGAUGAACUCGAACUCAAAACCUGUAUUGUCUGCGUGUCGGGCAUUGGUCCGUCUCCAGUGUCGAUUACCAUCCCAAGUGACGUGCCAUUAUCAUCAAGCUACCUACCUUUGUCUCGAGCCAGAUUGUUUACACUAACCUUGAGGAUGAAUGCAAAAAAAAAGAA